RNAcentral lists this ribosomal RNA (1111 nucleotides) under Kocuria sp. Its description in RNAcentral is "bacterial SSU rRNA". It matches the Rfam family "Bacterial small subunit ribosomal RNA", at positions 29 to 1161 of the family's 1533-position model. Lineage: Bacteria; Bacillati; Actinomycetota; Actinomycetes; Micrococcales; Micrococcaceae. The record is from RNAcentral.
GGGGACGUUGGCGGCGGUGCUUACACAUGCAGUCGAACGAUGAUGCCCAGCUUGCUGGGCGGAUUAGUGGCGAACGGGUGAGUAAUACGUGAGUAACCUGCCCUUGACUCUGGGAUAAGCCUGGGAAACUGGGUCUAAUACUGGAUACUACCUCUUGCCGCAUGGUGGGUGGUGGAAAGGGUUUUACUGGUUUUGGAUGGGCUCACGGCCUAUCAGCUUGUUGGUGGGGUAAUGGCUCACCAAGGCGACGACGGGUAGCCGGCCUGAGAGGGUGACCGGCCACACUGGGACUGAGACACGGCCCAGACUCCUACGGGAGGCAGCAGUGGGGAAUAUUGCACAAUGGGCGGAAGCCUGAUGCAGCGACGCCGCGUGAGGGAUGACGGCCUUCGGGUUGUAAACCUCUUUCAGUAGGGAAGAAGCGAGAGUGACGGUACCUGCAGAAGAAGCGCCGGCUAACUACGUGCCAGCAGCCGCGGUAAUACGUAGGGCGCAAGCGUUGUCCGGAAUUAUUGGGCGUAAAGAGCUCGUAGGCGGUUUGUCGCGUCUGCUGUGAAAGCCCGGGGCUCAACCCCGGGUCUGCAGUGGGUACGGGCAGACUAGAGUGCAGUAGGGGAGACUGGAAUUCCUGGUGUAGCGGUGAAAUGCGCAGAUAUCAGGAGGAACACCGAUGGCGAAGGCAGGUCUCUGGGCUGUUACUGACGCUGAGGAGCGAAAGCAUGGGGAGCGAACAGGAUUAGAUACCCUGGUAGUCCAUGCCGUAAACGUUGGGCACUAGGUGUGGGGGACAUUCCACGUUUUCCGCGCCGUAGCUAACGCAUUAAGUGCCCCGCCUGGGGAGUACGGCCGCAAGGCUAAAACUCAAAGGAAUUGACGGGGGCCCGCACAAGCGGCGGAGCAUGCGGAUUAAUUCGAUGCAACGCGAAGAACCUUACCAAGCUUGACAUUCACCGGACCGCCCCAGGAGAUGGGGUUUCCCUUCGGGGCUGGUGGACAGUGUGCAUGCGUCGUCAGCUCGUGUCGUGAGAUGUGGGUAGUUCCGCACGAGCGCACCCUCGUUCUAUGUUGCAGCACGUGAUGGUGGGGACUCAUAGGAGAACUGCCGGGUCAU